RNAcentral lists this ribosomal RNA (450 nucleotides) under uncultured bacterium. RNAcentral describes it as "partial 16S ribosomal RNA". It matches the Rfam family "Bacterial small subunit ribosomal RNA", at positions 354 to 796 of the family's 1533-position model. The record is from RNAcentral.
GUGGGGAAUAUUGGACAAUGGGCGAAAGCCUGAUCCAGCCAUGCCGCGUGUGUGAAGAAGGUCUUCGGAUUGUAAAGCACUUUAAGUUGGGAGGAAGGGCAGUAAGUUAAUACCUUGCUGUUUUGACGUUACCGACAGAAUAAGCACCGGCUAACUUCGUGCCAGCAGCCGCGGUAAUACGAAGGGUGCAAGCGUUAAUCGGAAUUACUUGGCGUAAAGCGCGCGUAGGUGGUUUUGUAAGUUGGAGGUGAAAUCCCCGGGCUCAACCUGGGAACUGCCUGCAAAACUGCAUGACUAGAGUACGGUAGAGGGUAGUGGAAUUUCCUGUGUAGCGGUGAAAUGCGUAGAUAUAGGAAGGAACACCAGUGGCGAAGGCGACUACCUGGACUGAUACUGACACUGAGGUGCGAAAGCGUGGGGAGCAAACAGGAUUAGAAACCCUUGUAGUCC